This 253-nucleotide ribosomal RNA is filed under the name uncultured bacterium. RNAcentral's name for it is "partial 16S ribosomal RNA". It matches the Rfam family "Bacterial small subunit ribosomal RNA", at positions 524 to 776 of the family's 1533-position model. The record is from RNAcentral.
UACGAAGGGGGCUAGCGUUGCUCGGAAUUACUGGGCGUAAAGGGCGCGUAGGCGGAUCGUUAAGUUAGAGGUGAAAGCCCAGGGCUCAACCUUGGAACUGCCUUUGAUACUGGCGAUCUGGAGUACGGGAGAGGUGUGUGGAACUCCGAGUGUAGAGGUGAAAUUCGUAGAUAUUCGGAAGAACACCAGUGGCGAAGGCGACACACUGGCCCGUUACUGACGCUGAGGCGCGAAAGCGUGGGGAGCAAACAGG